GAUCACAUUUACCUGACAUCAUAUUCGAGGAUGAAAGUCCAUUUGGCCACUCAGGUAAUUAGUACGACGGUAGCAAAUGCACUGGAUUCAUUUUAUGGACAGGAAGUUCAAGGAACCGUAAAAUUCAUCAGAAUGUUUGAUAAAUUUUUCGAUUGUUUGAAUAGUCGGUCACUAACAGAGGCUGACAGGAACAGGAAACCGAAUAUGGCACCAUAUAAAUCUCCAAAUGACCAGCGUUUAAAGUGGCUGAGGGAUGAUUUUCUAAAAUACCUGGAAAGGUGGGCAACAUCAGUAGAUUCACACUUCCAGGGACUGAAAUCGAAAGAAAAGGCGAAAAUGAGA
This is a long non-coding RNA of Dendronephthya gigantea, 342 nucleotides long. RefSeq lists it as uncharacterized. Lineage: Eukaryota; Metazoa; Cnidaria; Anthozoa; Malacalcyonacea; Nephtheidae. The transcript is spliced from 3 exons. The record is from RefSeq and is a predicted model, not a curated record.